This 505-nucleotide ribosomal RNA is filed under the name uncultured bacterium. Its description in RNAcentral is "bacterial SSU rRNA". It matches the Rfam family "Bacterial small subunit ribosomal RNA", at positions 18 to 518 of the family's 1533-position model. The record is from RNAcentral.
CCUGGCUUAGGAUGAACGCUAGCGACAGGCCUAACACAUGCAAGUCAGGGGCAGCACAAGGAGCAAUCUGAGGUGGCGACCGGCGCACGGGUGAGUAACACGUAUGCAACCUGCCUGUAAGCGGGGAAUAACCCGUUGAAAGACGGACUAAUACCGCAUAAUACUAAAUUACUGCAUGGUAAUUUAUUUAAACAUUUAUGGCUUACAGAUGGGCAUGCGCAUGAUUAGCUAGUUGGAGAGGUAACGGCUCCCCAAGGCAACGAUCAUUAGGGGUUCUGAGAGGAAGGUCCCCCACACUGGUACUGAGACACGGACCAGACUCCUACGGGAGGCAGCAGUGAGGAAUAUUGGUCAAUGGACGAGAGUCUGAACCAGCCAAGUCGCGUGCAGGAAGAAUGUCCCUAUGGAUUGUAAACUGCUUUUGCAGGGGAAUAAAGUGCAUCACGUGUGAUGUUUUGUAUGUACUCUGCGAAUAAGGAUCGGCUAACUCCGUGCCAGCCGCUGC